Molecule: ribosomal RNA, 275 nt
Filed under: uncultured bacterium
Lineage: Bacteria
Description: partial 16S ribosomal RNA
Rfam family: Bacterial small subunit ribosomal RNA
Source: RNAcentral
ACACGUAGGGAGCAAGCGUUGUCCGGAUUUAUUGGGCGUAAAGAGCUCGUAGGCGGUUUUGUAAGUCGGAUGUGAAAACUCAGGGCUCAACCCUGAGACGCCAUCCGAUACUGCAAUGACUAGAGUCCGGUAGGGGAGCAUGGAAUUCCUGGUGUAGCGGUGGAAUGCGCAGAUAUCAGGAGGAACACCAGUGGCGAAGGCGGUGCUCUGGGCCGGUACUGACGCUGAGGAGCGAAAGCAUGGGGAGCAAACAGGAUUAGAAACCCUUGUAGUCC